This 827-nucleotide ribosomal RNA is filed under the name uncultured Streptococcus sp. Its description in RNAcentral is "bacterial SSU rRNA". It matches the Rfam family "Bacterial small subunit ribosomal RNA", at positions 71 to 884 of the family's 1533-position model. The record is from RNAcentral. Lineage: Bacteria; Bacillati; Bacillota; Bacilli; Lactobacillales; Streptococcaceae.
GAGAGGAGCUAGCUCUUCUUGGAUGAGUUGCGAACGGGUGAGUAACGCGUANGUAACCUGCCUUGUAGCGGGGGAUAACUAUUGGAAACGAUAGCUAAUACCGCAUAACAAUGGGUGACACAUGUCAUUUAUUUGAAAGGGGCAAUUGCUCCACUACAAGAUGGACCUGCGUUGUAUUAGCUAGUAGGUGAGGUAACGGCUCACCUAGGCGACGAUACAUAGCCGACCUGAGAGGGUGAUCGGCCACACUGGGACUGAGACACGGCCCAGACUCCUACGGGAGGCAGCAGUAGGGAAUCUUCGGCAAUGGGGGCAACCCUGACCGAGCAACGCCGCGUGAGUGAAGAAGGUUUUCGGAUCGUAAAGCUCUGUUGUAAGUCAAGAACGAGUGUGAGAGUGGAAAGUUCACACUGUGACGGUAGCUUACCAGAAAGGGACGGCUAACUACGUGCCAGCAGCCGCGGUAAUACGUAGGUCCCGAGCGUUGUCCGGAUUUAUUGGGCGUAAAGCGAGCGCAGGCGGUUUGAUAAGUCUGAAGUUAAAGGCUGUGGCUCAACCAUAGUUCGCUUUGGAAACUGUCAAACUUGAGUGCAGAAGGGGAGAGUGGAAUUCCAUGUGUAGCGGUGAAAUGCGUAGAUAUAUGGAGGAACACCGGUGGCGAAAGCGGCUCUCUGGUCUGUAACUGACGCUGAGGCUCGAAAGCGUGGGGAGCGAACAGGAUUAGAUACCCUGGUAGUCCACGCCGUAAACGAUGAGUGCUAGGUGUUGGAUCCUUUCCGGGAUUCAGUGCCGCAGCUAACGCAUUAAGCACUCCGCCUGGGAGUACG